Molecule: ribosomal RNA, 500 nt
Filed under: uncultured bacterium
Lineage: Bacteria
Description: partial 16S ribosomal RNA
Rfam family: Bacterial small subunit ribosomal RNA
Source: RNAcentral
AUUGAACGCUGGCGGAAUGCUUUACACAUGCAAGUCGAACGGCAGCACGGACUUCGGUCUGGUGGCGAGUGGCGAACGGGUGAGUAAUGUAUCGGAACGUGCCCAGUCGUGGGGGAUAACGUAGUGAAAAUUACGCUAAUACCGCAUACGAUCUAUGGAUGAAAGCGGGGGAUCGCAAGACCUCGCGCGAUUGGAGCGGCCGAUAUCAGAUUAGGUAGUUGGUGGGGUAAAGGCCCACCAAGCCAACGAUCUGUAGCUGGUCUGAGAGGACGACCAGCCACACUGGAACUGAGACACGGUCCAGACACCUACGGGAGGCAGCAGUGGGGAAUUUUGGACAAUGGGCGAAAGCCUGAUCCAGCCAUUCCGCGUGCAGGAUGAAGGCCCUCGGGUUGUAAACUGCUUUUGUACAGAACGGAAAGGUUUCUACUAAUACUAGGAGCUCAUGACGGUACUGUAAGAAUAAGCACCGGCUAACUACGUGCCAGCCGCCGCGGUAA